AAACUAAGCCAUUAAGCUGCCUUCUCAUACACAUUAAUUAUGAAGAUACCAUCACUCAUGUUUGUCAACUACAAACCGUCCUGUGAUAAUUGAUUUAUUUUCUUUUAGUGCAGGGAGUUGUAAUGCUGAAGUUGCAAACUGUGCUGGCAGGCAAUUCCUGCAAGGACCCGAUCCCAGUGAGCUGGUGAAACCUCCCUUUGUCACCACAAGGCCUGGAAAGGUGUAGACCGAUGUCCCCCAUCCUCUUGGCCAGUGUGCCUACCUUCUGGUAUCUGCCCUCGCCAAAGGUGUCCUUCUGACAUAGGUUUGGCUGAAGAUCAGGCAAUUAUUUGAUGCUUUGAAUGUUGACUUAGGGAAAAGCUUUCAGGCCAAGAGGGUGUUGCUCGAAGCCUAUCUCAGGCACCCUCAACACCCCUAAAUUUUGCUGGGAUCCAUUGGUUCUGAGUACCCUGAGUCCCCUCUUUGCCAUCUCCAAUGUGUUUAUGGGCAAUGAGAGGGGCUGUUGUCCCUCUUCCAAAGGCAAAGGCAGCAGUGAUGGUGAAGCCCAAGCCCAUGCUUUUUCUGUUCUCCUCCAGCCCAUGCUGCUGGCACUGGGCUCUCCUAACACAUCUCUGCCCUUUCCUGCUGCAGGGAAAGACUGCAACAUAGGGCAGGAGAGGAAAAACCCCUCCAAUUAUGCUUUCUGCCUGUGCUGGCCAUGGUCUGCAGCCCAAGUUACCAAUGGGACUUGCUAAUAGAGCAUCUGGGACAGUCUUGCACUGUUUUCCCCAUAGCUGGUUUUCGGAUUAGUGCCUCCCAGCUGAUCGCUCUCCCAGAUGUGUGUGUGUCCAUACAUGCAGUCAGAUCACUGAUGGAUGCUCUGCAGCCAUCUGGAUGUCGGGGAGAAAUGACAAAUUUCCCCCUUACUGCCAGCCACCCCUUCCAUGAGAUAUUGAUGAAUGGCAUCUUUAUUGGCUGCUGGGCUAAUUAAAUAAAAGUUGCAUCAGCUUCUAGCUGACAGGCUCUAAUUGCUCCUGAUCAGAUUUUGAGAGGACCAAAUGAAUAGGAAAAUAAAAGGAAAUAGCAUGGAUUGGAUCCAAGAAAGUAUCUGACAGCAUUGUGCUUCUGUAGACCUGCAGGUGCUCAACACUGCAAAAGGAGUGUCUGGGAACCAGCAACCCUGCUGUGUUUAGAGGGUUUAGAAGGAUGCUUAAGCCCCAGGGCGGAGUGCCCAGGUUUUGGGUGGGUCCAGGACCUGGUGCACCACACAUCCCAGCACAGACAAACAUACCAAGAUGAAUGGUGGUGACUCUGAUUCAGUAUAUGGAGUGUGACGGAAGAGGUGAUGAAUUUGGUUCCAAAGGCAAUGCAUCAAGCUCAGCAUGAAGUGCCCCAAAUCUAUUGCACGUCGCAUCGGCUUCAAAUAUGCCCAUAGUAAGUGGGGCACCCUUACCUGAGUCCCACAGCCACCACCUUCCCUUGCUGAUGGUCUUCUCUUCAGCCUUCCAGGAUGUGAAGAAAACCAGCAAAACAGCCCAUCAGGUGCUGGUUAGAUAUUUGUCUUCAACUCAAUACAUGGCCAGCCCCACAACUAACGUGUAAGGGUGGCUGAAAACCUGCUGGCAAAAUGCUCGAAGAAACAGAAAACUUGUAUUGGAGGGAAAUGAAACCCCAGGGCACAAAACUUAUGUCUGGAAACCUUUGUCUUAAGACUCGAUAGAGGGCUGCAGCCAUCAGGGUGGAUAAAGAUGAGGAUGUUUUCCAUCAACUGUGUUAAUCCGAUCUGUCUCUGCAUACAGUUUUUUUUUUUGGAGAGCAGAUAAAAUACAACAGAUCCUGACAUGCUGAUCAGCCAAACCCUGCUGCCAUUUACAGGCAGGGGCUCCUACUGUGCCACGUACCCAAGAAGGGAUGCACCAAGGACACAAACAGGGGCUUGAGUACCUCUAAUGUACCCCUGCUCUGCUUGCAGUGAGGUGUUUGCAGGCUUGGUCUUUGCCCAAAACCUCUCCAGGAAACACAUCGUGCUGCUCCUGCCGCUGUCACCCAGGCAGCUUCAACCCUGGUCUCCAGAAGGGUAGAACAAACCCCUCUGGCAUGCUUUAAAUAGUUGAAACAACACCCUUCCAAGAGCAAAAACACUCACAAAUUUGAACUCCCAUUUUGGCAUCACCUCACGAACAACUUUGCUAAUGAAAUGCUGGGUUUGGGGAGCCUCUGUGCCCUCUCUGCCAUCCCACAACAUCCAAGGGAGGAUGCUUAUGCCGUGCUGUGCCCCAGGCAUGGCAAUGAGCACUGGGGACCCUCCCAGUGCUGUCUCUGUGCAGCCAGCCUCAGUGGCUGCAUCUGGGAUGCCAGUCUCUGCUCCUGUGUUGUGGCCAUGGGGUAAUGGGCUGGGCUUUGUGGCACUGCUCAACAUGCUGCAGCACAGCUCAAACACCCUGCAGGGCUUUACACUGCCAGAAAAUGUCUUGGUUGUGGAGAAGAGCAUGUAAUUUCUUUUCUUUGUUUAUUUGUUUUGCAUGGGAGGCAAGGCUGAUGGCUCAUAAUGAACAAGUAUUAUAGCUGAGUGCAGUUGGGCCCAUAAAUCAGUUGCUCCUUCUGGAGCACCAGCCAUCAGCAGCUGUCUGAGCUCUAAAAUCACCAGCACCAGCAUCUCCUCCGGAACAGGAGCAGUCUGCUGACACUGCCAUCCCCCUG
Molecule: long non-coding RNA, 2679 nt
Filed under: Gallus gallus (chicken)
Lineage: Eukaryota; Metazoa; Chordata; Aves; Galliformes; Phasianidae
Description: lncRNA (ENSGALG00010022118.1)
Source: RNAcentral